UGGCUCAGGACGAACGCUGGCGGCGUGCUUAACACAUGCAAGUCGAGCGGAAAGGCCCUUUCGGGGGUACUCGAGGCGGCGAACGGGUGAGUAACACGUGAGUAAUCUGCCCUUGGCUUUGGGAUAACUACCGGAAACGGUGGCUAAUACCGGAUAUGACCAUGCUCGGCAUCGGGUGUGGUGGAAAGUUUUUUCGGCCAGGGAUGUGCUCGCGGCCUAUCAGCUUGUUGGUGGGGUAAUGGCCUACCAAGGCUUCGACGGUAGCCGGCCUGAGAGGGUGACCGGCCACACUGGGACUGAGACACGGCCCAGACUCCUACGGGAGGCAGCAGUGGGGAAUAUUGGACAAUGGGCGGAAGCCUGAUCCAGCAACGCCGCGUGAGGGAUGACGGCCUUCGGGUUGUAAACCUCUUUCAGUACCGACGAAGCGCCGAUGAUGGUGGUGACGGUAGGUACAGAAGAAGCACCGGCCAACUACGUG
Molecule: ribosomal RNA, 481 nt
Filed under: uncultured bacterium
Lineage: Bacteria
Description: bacterial SSU rRNA
Rfam family: Bacterial small subunit ribosomal RNA
Source: RNAcentral